GGUACUCGUUUUUAUAUUUGAGAACUGACGGGGAUAGAAAGACCGAGAGAAACCUUAGGUUUCUUUGGAAAAAAAUUAAAUAAUCAUCCCUAAUAUUUCUAAGCGAAAUAGGUCCAUAAGGGUAAACAAGAUGGUCGUGGUGACAGCGGGACAUAAAGUAAUCUUGAUAUCUGGGAAACAGCAUGGCUCUCCCAGCGCAACACAGUGCUACAGACGGUCCAUUUCGGUCGUUUUGCCUUCAUCUGCGUCGAACCAAGCCAAUUCUUCCGAUUCCGACUCAAAUUCGACAACUGGGCCACCCCUGCGAAAAAGACAGAGACUCACUCAUUUGAGUCCUGAAGAAAAGCAGCUUCGCAGGAAACUGAAGAACAGAGUUGCAGCCCAGACAGCCAGAGACAGAAAAAAAGCUAAAAUGGGGGACCUGGAAGACCAAGUUCUAGCGUUGGAGUUGGAGAACAAGAAACUUCAUGUUGAGAACAGGCUUUUACAGCAAAAGACAUGUGGCUUGGUGAACGAGAAUGAGGAACUGAGACAGAGGCUGGGGUUGGAUGCCCUGGAAGCCAAAGAGGGUCAGGUGUUGGAGUCCAGUGGGAUUGAUGCAGGUUUGGGGAUCGGGUCUUCUGAGUCUGCAGUACUCAGGCUAUGUGUGCCUCCGCAGCAGGUGCAGGCCCAGCAAUGCCCAAAUCUGAAGAUUUCCCAAUGGAUACAGAUAGUCCUGACUCUACAGACUCUGAGUCUGAUCUCUUGCUGGGCAUUCUGGACAUCCUUGACCCAGAGCUGUUCCUCAAGGAGUGUAGUGAGCAGGAGAUCCAGGCGCAGGAGAUGCUGCUGGUCGGAGGGGGGGCAGGAGUACCUUCCCCCUCACCUGCAGCUCUGGGGGCCACACCAGUUAAGCUGGAGGCCCUUAAUGAACUGAUCCACUUUGACCACAUCUACACCAAGCCUGUGGAGGGGGUGGCGCUUCCCCCUGGGCAGCAGGAAGUGCAUUACGAGGAGAGUGUAACAAAGAUGGAGGAGGUCUUCUCUUUGGUUGAGGAGGUCUGCGAGGUGGUGUGUGUCAAAGACGAGCCGGAGGAAGUGGUCAUCAUCCCUGAGAGUCACGGGGUGUUGGAUGACUUCCUGUCCUCGGUCUCGCCGACCUCUGACCUGGCCCUGGGUGGCCUGGAGAAGACUGGUACCUACCUGACUGAGACCUACAGCGACUCCGGAUACGAGCGGUCCCCUUCCCCCUUCAGCGACAUGUCCUCCCCCCUCUGCUCUGAGGGAUCCUGGGAUGAUGUGUUCGCCAAUGAACUGUUCCCUCAGCUGAUCAGUGUCUGACGUGAGCCCUAUUGGCCCAAUUAAUCAAUGAUCCAACCUAUAGAUCUCCCUUAUAUUUUCAUGUAGUGUUAAGUGACUACAGUAGAUCAUGCUUUAUAUUGAUGUAUAGAUGGCAAAGUGAUAGCCUUUUCCCAGAUCUGUUUGUGCUGUUGAGCCAAUGGCUAUAUUUUGUCUUUACAGUACAAACUAAUCUGUGACCAGGCUAAUACUAGUUUACCUUGUGUUUUUAAAACUAAGUUAAGCACGUAAUCUCCUCUAUUACAGCAGGUCUGUACAAUGGGUGAUCCUGCAUUGACUUGUGGGAGAUGUAGUUCUUGACAUCUUAAUUUGGCAUCACUACUUGAUUGCUAGUGGUUUUGUAAGAUUGCUUAAUAAUCUAUCCACACAUUGUUGGGUUCCCGGGGAAAUGAAUGCAUCCAGUAUUUGUGUACAUUGUAUUUAGAUGGGGACUGAUUGCUCUAAAGACACUUAUUUAUUUGUGUAUCCUGCUCCGGCGUCUUCUGUAUGUUAUCGGUUUUAGCAUGUAGGAAUGUUUUCCUCUGUAUCAUUUUGUUGCACUCUCCUUGUUGCGCUAAAUUACUGCAUUAAAAAAAACUUUGCAUUGCA
Molecule: RNA transcript, 1926 nt
Organism: Oncorhynchus keta (chum salmon)
Lineage: Eukaryota; Metazoa; Chordata; Actinopteri; Salmoniformes; Salmonidae
Exons: 5
Source: RefSeq, a predicted model, not a curated record